GCUGCCAACUGCCACUCCAAGGAGAACAGAAAUGGUUCCGUUAUUAGUGGCUGCUGUGGGACCACGACAGUCUGUGGGAGAGAAGACACGGUUCAAUGUGUAGACCUUCUCCCUCUCCAGUGUCUCCAGCCUCCAAUCCCAGGACAUCACUAGUACAGGUGAAAACAAAAGCCUGUCUCAGCGGCCAUCACUCUGCCAGCAGCACCUCAAAGCCAUUCAAAACGCCCAAAGACAAUCUACUUACCUCCAGCAGCAAACAGCACACAGUCUUUCCUGCGAAAGGAUCAAGGGAUAAACCAUGUGUUCCGGUUCCUGUAGUCAGUUUAGAGAAAAUUCCUAACCUAGUGAAGGCAGAUGGUGCCAAUGUCAAAAUGAACUCCACAACCACUACUGCAGUUUCUGCCUCCUCCACCUCAUCCUCUGCCGUCUCCACCCCUCCUUUAAUUAAGCCUGUCCUGAUGUCCAAGUCAGUGCCACCUUCACCAGAGAAGAUCUUAAAUGGCAAAGGAAUUCUGCCAACCACCAUAGACAAGAAACACCAAAAUGGCACCAAAAACAGCAACAAGCCUUACAGGAGACUUUCAGAGAGAGAAUUUGACCCAAAUAAACACUGUGGAGUAUUGGAUCCCGAGACAAAGAAACCUUGCACAAGAUCCCUCACCUGCAAGACACAUUCACUAAGCCAUCGGAGGGCAGUCCCAGGCCGGAAAAAGCAAUUUGACCUCCUCCUGGCAGAACAUAAAGCCAAGUCCCGGGAAAAAGAAGUUAAAGAUAAAGAGCAUCUCCUGACUUCCACGAGGGAAAUACUUCCAAGCCAAUCCGGGCCGGCACAGGAUUCUCUGCCAGGGUCUUCAGGGAGCUCUGGGCCAGAACCGAAAGUUGCAUCCCCUGCAAAAUCCAGACCACCUAACUCUGUACUUCCUAGUUUUGCUCAUUUGGGAGUCGCCUCAUGGGACGAGGGUACUAUGUGUUUGAUAGAAGAUGGGAUCGUUUUCGAUUCGCACUAAACUCCAU
Molecule: small RNA, 1014 nt
Filed under: Pongo abelii (Sumatran orangutan)
Lineage: Eukaryota; Metazoa; Chordata; Mammalia; Primates; Hominidae
Description: processed transcript
Source: RNAcentral